ACUCCUACGGGAUGCAGCAGUGGGGAAUUUUGGACAAUGGGCGCAAGCCUGAUCCAGCAAUGCCGCGUGCAGGAAGAAGGCCUUCGGGUUGUAAACCGCUUUUGUCAGGGAAGAAAUCCUCUGGGUUAAUACCCCGGGGGGAUGACGGUACCUGAAGAAUAAGCACCGGCUAACUACGUGCCAGCAGCCGCGGUAAU
This 197-nucleotide ribosomal RNA is filed under the name uncultured bacterium. RNAcentral's name for it is "partial 16S ribosomal RNA". It matches the Rfam family "Bacterial small subunit ribosomal RNA", at positions 335 to 524 of the family's 1533-position model. The record is from RNAcentral.